AGAGUUUGAUCCUGGCUCAGAGUGAACGCUGGCGGUGUGGAUUAGGCAUGCAAGUCGAGCGAUGGUGUGUUUACACACCAUAGCGGCAAACGGGUGAGGAAUACGUGAAUAAUCUUCCCCGAAGUCGGACAUAGCAUUGUGAAAACGGUGGUAAUUUCCGAUAGUUCCUUGAUAACACAUGUUGUCUUGGAUAAAAGUGGGGACCGUAAGGCCCACUGCUUUGGGAUGAAUUCGCGUCCUAUCAGCUUGUUGGUGAGGUAAUGGCUCACCAAGGCGUAUGACGGGUAGCCGGCCUGAGAGGGUGUUCGGCCACACUGGGACUGAGACACUGCCCAGACUCCUACGGGAGGCUGCAGUCGAGAAUCUUUAGCAAUGGACGAAAGUCUGACUAUGCGACGCCGCGUGCAGGAUGAAGGUUUUCGGAUCAUAAACUGCUUUUGUUAGGAGAGAAACCUUAAUGGUUAAUACCCAUUAAGCUGACGGUACCUAACGAAUAAGCCACGGCCAACUCCGUGCCAGCAGCCGCGGUAAUACGGAGGUGGCAAGCGUUACUCGGAAUCAUUGGGUGUAAAGGGCAAGUAGGCGGCCUAUUAAGUGAGGGGUGAAAUCUUCCGACUCAAUCGGAAAACUGCCUUUCAAACUAAUAGGCUUGAGGCUGGAAGAGGAAAGCGGAAUUAGCAGUGUAAGGGUGAAAUCUGUUGAUAUUGCUAAGAACGCCAACGGCGAAGGCAGCUUUCUGGUCCAGUUCUGACGCUCAAUUGCGAAAGCUAGGGUAGCGAACAGAAUUAGAUACUCUGGUAGUCCUAGCCGUAAACGAUGAGCACUAGGUGUUGGGACUUCGGUCUCAGUGCCGCAGCUAACGCAUUAAGUGCUCCACCUGGGGACUACGGCCGCAAGGCUAAAACUCAAAGGAAUUGACGGGGACCCGCACAAGCGGUGGAACAUGUGGUUUAAUUCGAUGCUACGCGAAGAACCUCACCAGGGCUUGACAUGUAGGAAGUAGUGAACCGAAAGGGGAACGACCCGUUAAGUCCGGGAACCUACACAGGUGCUGCAUGGCUGUCGUCAGCUCGUGUCGUGAGAUGUUGGGUUAAGUCCCGCAACGAGCGCAACCAUUGCCCCAUGUUGCUACCUUCGAUGCUCUGCUUGCAGAGCGCGGAGGGCACUCUUGGGGGACUGCCCGGAAUAACCGGGAGGAAGGUGUAGAUGACGUCAAGUCAGUACGGCCCUUAUGUCCUGGGCUACACACGUGUUACAAUGGAUGGUACAAAGGGUUGCCAACCCGCGAGGGGGAGCUAAUCUCAAAAAACUGUCCUCAGUUCGGAUAGAAGUCUGCAAUUCGACUUCUUGAAGCCGGAAUCGCUAGUAAUGGGAGAUCAGCUCGCUCCCGUGAAUACGUUCCCGGGUCUUGUACACACCGCCCGUCAAGCGAUGAAGCCGGAAGUACCCGAAGUCCUAUGUAGAUAGGCCGAAGGUAAAGCUGGUGAUUGGCGCUAAGUCGUAACAAGGUA
RNAcentral lists this ribosomal RNA (1511 nucleotides) under metagenome. Its description in RNAcentral is "bacterial SSU rRNA". It matches the Rfam family "Bacterial small subunit ribosomal RNA". The record is from RNAcentral.